Molecule: ribosomal RNA, 287 nt
Filed under: Cambarus longirostris
Lineage: Eukaryota; Metazoa; Arthropoda; Malacostraca; Decapoda; Cambaridae
Description: partial 12S ribosomal RNA
Source: RNAcentral
UGUUUUAGUCUAGUUAGAGGAACCUGUGUUAUAAACGAAACAACACGCAUUAUCUUACUUAUUUUAGUAAGUCAGUUUGUAUACCGUCAUUAUUAGAUAAUUUAGGAGAAAAUAUUAUUGAGGUCAUAUUAUUGAGUAUAUUAGAUCAAGGUGCAGCUUAUGAGUAAGUAAAUAUGGGUUACAAUAAAAUUUAUUUAGUAUGAAUUAAGUAUUAAAAUAUAUUUAUGAAGGAGGAUUUAAUUGUAAGAAAAAAAUAGUAAGAUUUUUUGAUAAGAGCUCUAAAUUAU